This 465-nucleotide ribosomal RNA is filed under the name uncultured bacterium. Its description in RNAcentral is "partial 16S ribosomal RNA". It matches the Rfam family "Bacterial small subunit ribosomal RNA", at positions 338 to 795 of the family's 1533-position model. The record is from RNAcentral.
CCUACGGGAGGCUGCAGUGGGGAAUAUUUCUCAAUUUUCUAAAUCCUUACUCCGCGCCGCCGCGUGCGGGAUGAAGGUCUUCGGAUCGUAAACCUCUGUCAGCAGGGAAGUACGGUCACUGUGCUAAUCAGCAGUGAAUUGACGGUACCUGCAAAGGAAGCACCGGCUAACUCCGUGCCAGCAGCCGCGGUAAUACGGAGGGUGCGAGCGUUAAUCGGAAUUACUGGGCGUAAAGCGCUCGUAGGCGGUAUGUCAAGUCAAGGGUGAAAUCCCCGCGCUCAACGUGGGAACUGCCUUUGAAACUGGCAAACUGGAGUGUGUGAGAGGAUAGUGGAAUUCCAGGUGUAGGAGUGAAAUCCGUAGAUAUCUGGAGGAACAUCAGUGGCGAAGGCGACUAUCUGGCACAUAACUGACGCUGAGGAGCGAAAGCGUGGGUAGCAAACAGGAUUAGAUACCCCUGUAGUC